CAGUCGCCGCGAUAAUACGAAGGGUGCAAGCGUUACUCGGAAUUACUGGGCGUAAAGCGUGCGUAGGUGGUGGUUUAAGUCCGUUGUGAAAGCCCUGGGCUCAACCUGGGAAUUGCAGUGGAUACUGGGUCACUAGAGUGUGGUAGAGGAUAGUGGAAUUUCCGGUGUAGCAGUGAAAUGCGUAGAGAUCGGAAGGAACAUCUGUGGCGAAGGCGACUAUCUGGGCCAACACUGACACUGAGGCACGAAAGCGUGGGGAGCAAACAGGAUUAGAUACCCCUGUAGUCCCUGUCUCUUAUAC
Molecule: ribosomal RNA, 301 nt
Filed under: uncultured bacterium
Lineage: Bacteria
Description: partial 16S ribosomal RNA
Rfam family: Bacterial small subunit ribosomal RNA
Source: RNAcentral